AACGAACGCUGGCGGCAUGCCUAACACAUGCAAGUCGAACGAGACCUUCGGGUCUAGUGGCGCACGGGUGCGUAACGCGUGGGAACCUGCCCUUAGGUUCGGAAUAACUCCCCGAAAGGGGUGCUAAUACCGGAUAAUGUCUUCGGACCAAAGAUUUAUCGCCUUUGGAUGGGCCCGCGUUGGAUUAGCUAGUUGGUAGGGUAAAAGCCUACCAAGGCGACGAUCCAUAGCUGGUCUGAGAGGAUGAUCAGCCACACUGGGACUGAGACACGGCCCAGACUCCUACGGGAGGCAGCAGUGGGGAAUAUUGGACAAUGGGCGAAGGCCUGAUCCAGCAAUGCCGCGUGAGUGAUGAAGGCCUUAGGGUUGUAAAGCUCUUUUACCCGGGAUGAUAAUGACAGUACCGGGAGAAUAAGCUCCGGCUAGCUCCGUG
This 433-nucleotide ribosomal RNA is filed under the name uncultured bacterium. RNAcentral describes it as "partial 16S ribosomal RNA". It matches the Rfam family "Bacterial small subunit ribosomal RNA", at positions 29 to 507 of the family's 1533-position model. The record is from RNAcentral.